Molecule: non-coding RNA, 205 nt
Organism: Oryza glumipatula
Lineage: Eukaryota; Viridiplantae; Streptophyta; Magnoliopsida; Poales; Poaceae
Source: Rfam
UCUCCGUACAUACGUAGGUUUCUACGUCGACAUUUGACCAUUCUGUCUUAUUUAAAUUUUUUUAUUGUGAUUAACAUUUUUAUUGUUAUUGGAUGAUAAAACAUAAAUAAUACUUUAUGCGUAAACUUUUUAUUUUUUUUUCUUGAAUUUUUAAAAUAAGACGGAUGGUCAAACAUUGGACACGGAACCUACAUCUGCACUUAAA